GACGAACCGUGCGAACGUUGUUAGGAAUCACUGGGCUUAAAGGGUGCGUAGGCGGGUUGUCCAGUCUGGGGUGAAAUCCCACGGCUCAACCGUGGAACUGCCUCAGAUACUUACGACCUCGAGGGAGGUAGGGGCGAGAGGAACUGUGGGUGGAGCGGUGAAAUGCGUUGAUAUCCACAGGAACUCCGGUGGCGAAGGCGGCUAGCUGCACCUCUUCUGACGCUGAGGCACGAAAGCUAGGGGAGCAAACGGG
RNAcentral lists this ribosomal RNA (253 nucleotides) under uncultured bacterium. Its description in RNAcentral is "partial 16S ribosomal RNA". It matches the Rfam family "Bacterial small subunit ribosomal RNA", at positions 524 to 776 of the family's 1533-position model. The record is from RNAcentral.